CCUACGGGAGGCAGCAGUGUGGAAUAUUGGACAAUGGGCGCAAGCCCGAUCCAGCAAUGCCGCGUGUGUGAAGAAGGUCUUCGGAUUGUAAAGCACUUUUGGCAGGGACGAUGAUGACGGUACCUGCAGAAUAAGCCCCGGCUAACUUCGUGCCAGCAGCCGCGGUAAU
This 169-nucleotide ribosomal RNA is filed under the name uncultured alpha proteobacterium WkA02. RNAcentral's name for it is "partial 16S ribosomal RNA". It matches the Rfam family "Bacterial small subunit ribosomal RNA", at positions 338 to 524 of the family's 1533-position model. The record is from RNAcentral. Lineage: Bacteria; Pseudomonadati; Pseudomonadota; Alphaproteobacteria.